Molecule: non-coding RNA, 28 nt
Filed under: Homo sapiens (human)
Lineage: Eukaryota; Metazoa; Chordata; Mammalia; Primates; Hominidae
Source: RNAcentral
UCCCGACUUGAUGAAGGCAGAGUAGCGG